AUUGAACGCUGGCGGCAUGCCUUACACAUGCAAGUCGAACGGCAGCGGACCUUCGGGUGCCGGCGAGUGGCGAACGGGUGAGUAAUAUAUCGGAACGUACCUUUCAGUGGGGGAUAACGUAGCGAAAGUUACGCUAAUACCGCAUAUUCUGUGAGCAGGAAAGCAGGGGAUCGCAAGACCUUGCGCUGAUUGAGCGGCCGAUAUCAGAUUAGCUAGUUGGUGAGGUAAAGGCUCACCAAGGCGACGAUCUGUAGCGGGUCUGAGAGGAUGAUCCGCCACACUGGAACUGAGACACGGUCCAGACUCCUACGGGAGGCAGCAGUGGGGAAUUUUGGACAAUGGGUGCAAGCCUGAUCCAGCCAUGCCGCGUGAGUGAAGAAGGCCU
RNAcentral lists this ribosomal RNA (385 nucleotides) under uncultured bacterium. Its description in RNAcentral is "bacterial SSU rRNA". It matches the Rfam family "Bacterial small subunit ribosomal RNA", at positions 30 to 417 of the family's 1533-position model. The record is from RNAcentral.